CCUACGGGAGGCAGCAGUGAGGAAUAGUGGUCAAUGGACGAGAGUCUGAACCAGCCAAGUAGCGUGAAGGAUGACGGCCCUAUGGGUUGUAAACUUCUGUUAUAGGGGAAUAAAAUGUUCCACGUGUGGGAUUUUGUAUGUACCAUAUGAAUAAGGAUCGGCUAACUCCGUGCCAGCAGCCGCGGUAAUACGGAGGAUCCGAGCGUUAUCCGGAUUUAUUGGGUUUAAAGGGGGCGUAGGGGGCUUGUUACGUCAGUUGUGAAAGUUGGGGGCUCAACCGUAAAAUUGCAGUUGACACUGGCAGUCUUGAGUACCGUAGAGGUGGGCGGAAUUCGUGGUGUAGCGG
RNAcentral lists this ribosomal RNA (346 nucleotides) under uncultured bacterium. RNAcentral's name for it is "partial 16S ribosomal RNA". It matches the Rfam family "Bacterial small subunit ribosomal RNA", at positions 338 to 681 of the family's 1533-position model. The record is from RNAcentral.